ACAUGUCAGCCACGUGGGGUGGGACCCCCAGAAUGGAUUUGACGUAAACAACCUGGACCCGGAUCUGCGGAGCCUGUUCUCUAGGGCGGGAAUCAGUGAGGCCCAGCUCACUGAUGCUGAGACCUCCAAACUUAUCUAUGACUUCAUUGAGGAUCAGGGCGGGCUGGAAGCUGUGCGGCAGGAGAUGAGGCGCCAGGAGCCGCUUCCACCACCCCCACCGCCAUCCCGAGGAGGGAACCAGCCCCCCCGGCCCCCAACUGUGGGGAGUAACAAGGGUCGUUCUGGUCCACUGCCCCCUGUACCUUUGGGAGGUGUGCCACCGCCACCACCACCAACUCCUCGGGGACCCCCACCUCCGGGCCGAGGGG
Myotis brandtii (Brandt's bat) is the source of this 368-nucleotide long non-coding RNA. RefSeq lists it as uncharacterized. The transcript is spliced from 3 exons. NCBI's taxonomy places the organism in Eukaryota, Metazoa, Chordata, Mammalia, Chiroptera, Vespertilionidae. The record is from RefSeq and is a predicted model, not a curated record.